GGACUACCGGGGUAUCUAAUCCCGUUCGCUACCCUAGCUUUCGUGCCUCAGCGUCAGAAAAGAUCCAGUGAGCCGCUUUCGCCACCGGUGUUCCUUAGGAUAUCAACGCAUUUCACCGCUCCACCCUAAGUUCCGCUCACCUCUAUCUCCCUCGAGCACGGUAGUUUUGAACGCAGUUCCUCGGUUAAGCCGAGGGAUUUCACAUCCAACUUACCGCGCCGCCUACGCACCCUUUAAGCCCAGUAAUUCCGAAUAACGUUUGGACGGUUCGUCUUACCGCGGCUGCUGGCAC
This 292-nucleotide ribosomal RNA is filed under the name uncultured Planctomycetota bacterium. RNAcentral describes it as "uncultured planctomycete partial 16S ribosomal RNA". The record is from RNAcentral. Lineage: Bacteria; Pseudomonadati; Planctomycetota.